Lactuca sativa (garden lettuce) is the source of this 1305-nucleotide non-coding RNA. Lineage: Eukaryota; Viridiplantae; Streptophyta; Magnoliopsida; Asterales; Asteraceae. The record is from RefSeq and is a predicted model, not a curated record.
UGUAUUUCAUUUUCAAAAUUUGGAAACCACCGCCACUUUUCUCUCUUCUCCAUUUCCUUCUCCCCUCUAACCUUAAAUAGCCUCCCUCACCACCUCGAUCAUCAUUGCACCACGUUUCCAGCAACACACCACCCUCUCCCUUUCACCCUAUCUCAGGAAAAUCACCACAGUCGCCAUGGUUGAAGCUUUGUUGGGAACAAAAACUUUGAUCUUGAAAAGGAAUGAAACAUAUUUGUUUUUCAAGUUUAGAUCUAUUUUCCGAUUAUGGACAUGGAUCUUGAUCCAGAGACCAUCGUAAUCGAUUCUAUCUUAUUCUAUCUUAUUCUAUCUUAUUCUGAUUUAGGGUUUCACCACCAAAAUGCACCCCCUGCUUCAAAUAGAUCUAAGAUGAAGAUAGAGGUAUAAAUCGACUUUUUGAACGAUUGGCAACAUCAGCCAAAACUACUCUCCUGAAAUAAACCCAAAAUCUCCAAGGAAACAUCGUGAUAGAAACGAUUUCAAGACAUAAACAUCAAUUGUGAUAUGGAUUUCUAGCGUCAAACGUCACUAUCAACCUCCGCCACCAGGUCCUUUUCUGCUUUCGAGGUUCAUAUGUGCCGCCUUAGACCAUUUAAUUGCACCGCUUGCUUUAGCUUGUUGUAUAUUAUAGCAAGGAGUAAUGAAAGUUGGAGGAGGAGUUGAUGAAUCCUUGGGAUGAAUCAAAUUUGAAAAGACCUCCGUGAUCGUUAUAUCAAAAUCUCUUUCUAAUUGGAACAACCUCUUGUAUAUGACUAUUAGGGAACUUUUUGUACCAACUGUGGGAGUUGAAUCGAAAGAAACCUUUGGAUUGCAAGUAGUCCGGGAAGAAGCUAUUUUGUAUUAGGUCUUUAGAUCUCAUUUUUUGUAGUCAGGUACUUUUUACUUAAUACUAACAUGUAAAGUUUUUUGGGUUUUCUUUACUGAUUUGUUUAUUCAACGAUUCUUCAUAUUAAUACAUGAGUAUUAAUGUUAUGUUAGGUUUAUCAAGGAAUGCUAAGCAUAAACAACUUGCAAAGGAGUUUUAUUUGUAUGUGUCUAUCUUUAAUGCGUUUAUGAUCUUGUGGACUUUUAUUUUGUUUAUGUCACGAUGACAGCUAAAAGGGACUGAAAUCAUCUAUGGUUAUUUAUUUAUUUAUUUAUCAAAUUUGUGUUGAUAUAAGUAUUUGAUGAGGAAAGGGUUUCUAAUCUGUUUUGCGCAAUGUUUUUAGAUAAAAAGGGUGUGGUUAAUAUGAUGUAAAUAUAACAAUUGUAAUAACGAUUUACUAAAGUAUUUGUUUAGCUGUCAAA